This 492-nucleotide ribosomal RNA is filed under the name uncultured bacterium. Its description in RNAcentral is "partial 16S ribosomal RNA". It matches the Rfam family "Bacterial small subunit ribosomal RNA", at positions 29 to 507 of the family's 1533-position model. The record is from RNAcentral.
AGUGAACGCUGGCGGUAGGCCUAACACAUGCAAGUCGAACGGCAGCACAGUAAGAGUUUGCUCGUACGGGUGGCGAGCGGCGGACGGGUGAGGAAUACAUCGGAAUCUACUUUUUCGUGGGGGAUAACGUAGGGAAACUUACGCUAAUACCGCAUACGACCUACGGGUGAAAGCAGGGGAUCUUCGGACCUUGCGCGAUUGAAUGAGCCGAUGUCGGAUUAGCUAGUUGGCGGGGUAAAGGCCCACCAAGGCGACGAUCCGUAGCUGGUCUGAGAGGAUGAUCAGCCAAACUGGAACUGAGACACGGUCCAGACUCCUACGGGAGGCAGCAGUGGGGAAUAUUGGACAAUGGGCGCAAGCCUGAUCCAGCCAUACCGCGUGGGUGAAGAAGGCCUUCGGGUUGUAAAGCCCUUUUGUUGGGAAAGAAAAGCAGCAGGUUAAUACCCCGCUGUUCUGACGGUACCCAAAGAAUAAGCACCGGCUAACUUCGUG